This 253-nucleotide ribosomal RNA is filed under the name uncultured Simkania sp. Its description in RNAcentral is "partial 16S ribosomal RNA". It matches the Rfam family "Bacterial small subunit ribosomal RNA", at positions 524 to 776 of the family's 1533-position model. Lineage: Bacteria; Pseudomonadati; Chlamydiota; Chlamydiia; Parachlamydiales; Simkaniaceae. The record is from RNAcentral.
UACGGAGGGUGCAAGCAUUGAUCGGAAUUAUUGGGCGUAAAGGGCGCGUAGGCGGGAUUGUAAGUCAGAUGUGAAAUUCCGAAGCUCAACUUCGGAGCUGCAUUUGAAACUGUGAUUCUAGAGGAUUGACGGAGAAAACGGAAUUCCACGUGUAGCGGUGAAAUGCGUAGAUAUGUGGAAGAACACCUGUGGCGAAAGCGGUUUUCUAGUUUAUACCUGACGCUGAGGCGCGAGAGCAAGGGGAGCAAACAGG